This 459-nucleotide ribosomal RNA is filed under the name uncultured bacterium. RNAcentral's name for it is "partial 16S ribosomal RNA". It matches the Rfam family "Bacterial small subunit ribosomal RNA", at positions 338 to 795 of the family's 1533-position model. The record is from RNAcentral.
CCUACGGGUGGCAGCAGUGAGGAAUAUUGGUCAAUGGACGAGAGUCUGAACCAGCCAAGUAGCGUGAAGGAUGACUGCCCUAUGGGUUGUAAACUUCUUUUAUAAAGGAAUAAAACGAGGCACGUGUGCCUUUUUGCAUGUACUUUAUGAAUAAGGAUCGGCUAACUCCGUGCCAGCAGCCGCGGUAAUACGGAGGAUCCGAGCGUUAUCCGGAUUUAUUGGGUUUAAAGGGUGCGUAGGCGGAAUAUCAAGUCAGCGGUAAAAAUUCGGGGCUCAACCCCGUCGUGCCGUUGAAACUGAUGUUCUUGAGUGGGCGAGAAGUAUGCGGAAUGCGUGGUGUAGCGGUGAAAUGCAUAGAUAUCACGAAGAACCCCGAUUGCGAAGGCAGCUUACUAAACUGUGACUGACAUUGAUGCUCGAAAGUGUGGGUAUCAAACAGGAUUAGAUACCCCAGUAGUC